Molecule: long non-coding RNA, 799 nt
Organism: Oncorhynchus keta (chum salmon)
Lineage: Eukaryota; Metazoa; Chordata; Actinopteri; Salmoniformes; Salmonidae
Exons: 5
Source: RefSeq, a predicted model, not a curated record
UGCAGUAGACAGGUUAGGCUGGGCUGGGAGGUGACUGCAGUAGACAGGUUAGGCUGGGCUGGGAGGUGACAGCAGUAGACAGGUUAGGCUGGGCUGGGAGGUGACAGCAGUAGACAGGUUAGACAGGUUAGGCUGGGCUGGGAGGUGACUGCAGUAGACAGGUUAGGCUGGGCUGGGAGGUGACAGCAGUAGACAGGUUAGGCUGGGCUGGGAGGUGACAGCAGUAGACAGGUUAGACAGGUUAGGCUGGGCUGGGAGGUGACAGCAGUAGACAGGUUAGACAGGGCUGGGAGGUGACUGCAGUAGACAGGUUAGGCUGGGCUGGGAGGUGACAGCAGUAGACAGGUUAGACAGGUUAGGCUGGGCUGGGAGGUGACUGCAGUAGACAUGUUAGGCUGGGCUGGGAGGUGACAGCAGUAGACAGGCUGGGUUGGGAGGUGACAGCAGUAGGCAGGUUAGGCUGGGCUGGGAGGUGACUGCAGUAGACAGGUUAGGCUGGGCUGGGAGGUGACUGCAGUAGACAGGUUAGGCUGGGCUGGGAGGUGACUGCAGUAGACAGGUUAGGCUGGGCUGGGAGGUGACAGCAGUAGACAGGUUAGACAGGUUAGGCUGGGCUGGGAGGUGACAGCAGUAGACAGGUUAGACAGGUUAGGCUGGGCUGGGAGGUGACAGCAGUAGACAGGUUAGGCUGGGCUGGGAGGUGACAGCAGUAGACAGGUUAGACAGGUUAGGCUGGGUUGGGAGGUGACUGCAGUAGACAGGGCUGGGAGGUGACUGCAGUAGACCGGUUAGGCUGGGC